GACAGAGGAUGCAAGCGUUAUCCGGAAUGAUUGGGCGUAAAGCGUCUGUAGGUGGCUUUUCAAGUCCGCCGUCAAAUCCCAGGGCUCAACCCUGGACGGGCGGUGGAAACUACCAAGCUGGAAUACGGUAGGGGCAGAGGGAAUUUCCGGUGGAGCGGUGAAAUGCGUAGAGAUCGGGAAGAACACCAACGGCGAAAGCACUCUGCUGGGCCGACACUGACACUGAGAUACGAAAGCGUGGGGAGCAAAUGGG
Molecule: ribosomal RNA, 253 nt
Filed under: uncultured bacterium
Lineage: Bacteria
Description: partial 16S ribosomal RNA
Rfam family: Bacterial small subunit ribosomal RNA
Source: RNAcentral